This 75-nucleotide transfer RNA is filed under the name Myxococcales bacterium. Its description in RNAcentral is "tRNA-Val". It matches the Rfam family "tRNA". Rfam says of the family: Transfer RNA (tRNA) molecules are approximately 80 nucleotides in length. Their secondary structure includes four short double-helical elements and three loops (D, anti-codon, and T loops). The record is from RNAcentral. Lineage: Bacteria; Pseudomonadati; Myxococcota; Myxococcia; Myxococcales.
AGGCGCGUAGCUCAGUGGUAGAGCACUACCUUGACACGGUAGGGGUCGUUGGUUCAAUCCCAAUCGCGCCUACAA